RNAcentral lists this transfer RNA (72 nucleotides) under Marinitoga piezophila KA3. It matches the Rfam family "tRNA". From Rfam's summary of the family: Transfer RNA (tRNA) molecules are approximately 80 nucleotides in length. Their secondary structure includes four short double-helical elements and three loops (D, anti-codon, and T loops). The record is from Rfam by way of RNAcentral. Lineage: Bacteria; Thermotogati; Thermotogota; Thermotogae; Petrotogales; Petrotogaceae.
UGGGGCGUGGCCAAGCGGUAAGGCGGCGGAUUUUGGCUCCGUUAUUCGGUGGUUCGAAUCCAUCCGCCCCAG